AAUAUAUAACGCAGAAACAUCAUUGCUUCAGAUGAAUAGACACAUACUUGACCUAGAUAGUAUGACAUCUGGAGGGCAUGUAAGAUCUGAGUAUUGGAAUUGGAGGUAUCAGAAAAUGGAGAUAGUGAGGACAGUACUCUAUUGGAAGUAUGUUCAUCAUGAUCAGUUGGCGAUUUUUCGAUCUGUUGCAACAAUUAUUUAUU
Molecule: long non-coding RNA, 203 nt
Filed under: Oryza brachyantha (malo sina)
Lineage: Eukaryota; Viridiplantae; Streptophyta; Magnoliopsida; Poales; Poaceae
Description: long non-coding RNA (OBRA_LNC003207)
Source: RNAcentral